UCGCUACUACCGAUUGAAUGGUUUAGUGAGGCCUCCGGACUAGACCUUCGAAGGUGGCAACACCAUCUUAGGAUUAGGAUGUUGGACAAACUUGACUAUUUAGAGGAAGUAA
RNAcentral lists this ribosomal RNA (112 nucleotides) under uncultured eukaryote. RNAcentral's name for it is "partial small subunit ribosomal RNA". It matches the Rfam family "Eukaryotic small subunit ribosomal RNA", at positions 1676 to 1785 of the family's 1831-position model. The record is from RNAcentral.